UACUAGAGUAGCACUCGCAUAUCAAUAAGCGGAGGAAAAGAAACUAACAAGGAUUCCCCUAGUAACGGCGAGUGAAGCGGGAAGAGCUCAAAUUUGAAAUCUUAAAGGGUUUCCCUUUACGAAUUGUAGUUUAAAGAAGUGUUUUCUGUUGAGGUUUUGGUAAAAGUUCUUUGGAAUAGGACAUCAUAGAGGGUGAGAAUCCCGUAUUUGACCUUUACUUUCAACUUUGUGAUACACUUUCAAAGAGUCGGAUUGUUUGGGAAUGCAGUCCAAAAUGGGUGGUAAAUUUCAUCUAAAGCUAAAUAUUGGCGAGAGACCGAUAGCGAACAAGUACCGUGAGGGAAAGAUGAAAAGAACUUUGAAAAGAGAGCUAAACAGUACGUGAAAUUGUCAAAAGGGAAGCGUUUGACACCAGUGUUGUUUUUCUGAAAAUCAAUUAAAGAACUGUUUAUGCUAAGUUGUUUAGAACUUUAUCAGCUAACUGUUUAGUUUUGAGCUUUUCUUUAAUGCACUUUUCAGUUAACAAGUCAACAUCAAUUUCUUUUGCUGUAAAAAAGCUUGAGGAAGGUGGCUUGAGAUUCGUCUUAAGUGUUUAUUAGCCUCUUGCCUAUGCAGUCGGAGAGAUUGAGGUCUGCAGCGUAGAUCCUUCGGGGCUAAAUGCAUUUGUGCUAAGUUAUAAGCAUUUUAUAGACAACUUGUUGACUAUGAUUUGUCUUGUAGCUUACUCGCUUAUGUUAUUUUACCUACGCUUAGGAUGUUGAUAUCGCGCUCUCACUG
RNAcentral lists this ribosomal RNA (777 nucleotides) under uncultured Neocallimastigales. RNAcentral's name for it is "partial large subunit ribosomal RNA". It matches the Rfam family "Eukaryotic large subunit ribosomal RNA", at positions 20 to 643 of the family's 3401-position model. Lineage: Eukaryota; Fungi; Neocallimastigomycota; Neocallimastigomycetes; Neocallimastigales. The record is from RNAcentral.